CGGGAUAUAGCGCAGUCUGGUAGCGCGCCUGCUUUGGGUGCAGGAUGUCGGGAGUUCGAAUCUCUCUAUCCCGACCA
Molecule: transfer RNA, 77 nt
Filed under: Leucothrix mucor
Lineage: Bacteria; Pseudomonadati; Pseudomonadota; Gammaproteobacteria; Thiotrichales; Thiotrichaceae
Also listed under: 3 other names
Description: tRNA-Pro
Rfam family: tRNA
About the family: Transfer RNA (tRNA) molecules are approximately 80 nucleotides in length. Their secondary structure includes four short double-helical elements and three loops (D, anti-codon, and T loops).
Source: RNAcentral